Molecule: transfer RNA, 75 nt
Filed under: Patescibacteria group bacterium
Lineage: Bacteria
Description: tRNA-Gly
Rfam family: tRNA
About the family: Transfer RNA (tRNA) molecules are approximately 80 nucleotides in length. Their secondary structure includes four short double-helical elements and three loops (D, anti-codon, and T loops).
Source: RNAcentral
GCGGGAUUCGUAUAACGGCUAAUAUAUCAGUUUUCCAAACUGAGGACACCGGUUCGACUCCGGUAUCCCGCACCA